CGCUCUUUGUAUGAAUAAGGAGUAAUACCUGCCCGGUGAGAUAAUUAAACGGCCGCAGUACCCUGACUGUGCUAAGGUAGCAUAAUAAUUUGCCUUUUAAUUGGUGGCUUGUAUGAAUGGUUUGACGAAGGCAUAGCUGUCUCUAAUAUAUUAUCUAUAAUUUAUCUUUUAGGUUAAAAUUCCUAAAUUGAAUUAAGGGACGAGAAGACCCUAUUGAAUUUUAAAAAAAUAUAUAAAUAAAAUUAUAUUUUUAAAAUUGUUUAUUUAUACAAGAAUUUUGGUUGGGGCAACCUAGGAACAGAAAAAGCUUCUUUAUUAUUAAUAAAACUACUUUUUUUGAUCCAAGAAAUGUUGAUAAUGGGAAUUAAUUACCAUAGGGAUAACAGCGUAAUUUUUCUUGAGAGGGCUAAUCGAAAGAGAAGCUUGCGACCUCGAUGUUGGAUUAGGAUGUUUCUAAAGGGUUGCAGGAGCUUUUAUGAUUGGUCUGUUCGACCAUUAAAAUCCU
This 505-nucleotide ribosomal RNA is filed under the name Afrocyclus exsertus. RNAcentral describes it as "partial 16S ribosomal RNA". It matches the Rfam family "Bacterial large subunit ribosomal RNA", at positions 1831 to 2597 of the family's 2925-position model. The record is from RNAcentral. Lineage: Eukaryota; Metazoa; Mollusca; Gastropoda; Architaenioglossa; Cyclophoridae.